RNAcentral lists this ribosomal RNA (403 nucleotides) under uncultured bacterium. RNAcentral describes it as "bacterial SSU rRNA". It matches the Rfam family "Bacterial small subunit ribosomal RNA", at positions 28 to 416 of the family's 1533-position model. The record is from RNAcentral.
GACGAACGCUGGCGGCGUGCCUAACACAUGCAAGUCGUGCGAGAAAGUUCCUUCGGGAGCGAGUAAAGCGGCGCACGGGUGAGUAACACGUAGGUAACCUGCCCCCCAGUCUGGAACAACUAGAGGAAACUCUAGCUAAUGCCGGAUGAGACCACGAUCCCUUCGGGGGUUGCGGCCAAAGAUGGCCUCUACUUGUAAGCUAUCGCUGAGGGAUGGGCCUGCGGGCCAUUAGCUUGUUGGUGAGGUAACGGCUCACCAAGGCUGUGAUGGCUAGCUGGUCUGAGAGGAUGACCAGCCACACUGGGACUGAGACACGGCCCAGACUCCUACGGGAGGCAGCAGUGGGAAUAUUGCGCAAUGGGCGAAAGCCUGACGCAGCGACGCCGCGUGGGUGAUGAAGGCC